This 500-nucleotide ribosomal RNA is filed under the name uncultured bacterium. RNAcentral describes it as "partial 16S ribosomal RNA". It matches the Rfam family "Bacterial small subunit ribosomal RNA", at positions 30 to 523 of the family's 1533-position model. The record is from RNAcentral.
AUUGAACGCUGGCGGAAUGCUUUACACAUGCAAGUCGAACGAUGAACCUUAGCUUGCUAAGGGGAUUAGUGGCGAACGGGUGAGUAAUGUAUCGGAACGUAUCCAAUAAUGGGGGAUAACUAGUCGAAAGAUUAGCUAAUACCGCAUACGUCCUACGGGAGAAAGCUAGGGACCUUCGGGCCUGGCGUUAAUGGAGCGGCCGAUAUCUGAUUAGCUAGUUGGUGGGGUAAAGGCUCACCAAGGCGACGAGCAGUAGCUGGUCUGAGAGGACGACCAGCCACACUUGAACCGAGACACGGUCCAGACUCCUACGGGAGGCAGCAGUGGGGAAUUUUGGACAGUGGGCGAAAGCCUGAUCCAGCCAUUCCGCGUGAGUGAAGAAGGCCUUCGGGUUGUAAAGCUCUUUCGCAAGAGAAGAAAACUUAAGCUCUAACAUAGCUUGAGGUUGACGGUACCUUGAUAAGAAGCACCGGCUAACUACGUGCCAGCCGCCGCAGUAA